UGGGGAAUCUUGGACAAUGGGGGCAACCCUGAUCCAGCCAUGCCGCGUGAGUGAUGAAGGCCUUAGGGUCGUAAAGCUCUUUCGCCUGUGAAGAUAAUGACGGUACCUAGUAAAGAAGUCCCGGCUAACUCCGUGCCAGCAGCCGCGGUAAUACGGAGGGGGUUAGCGUUGUUCGAAUUACUGGGCGUAAAGCGCACGUAGGCGGACCAGAAAGUUGGGGGUGAAAUCCCGGGGGCUCAACCCCGGAACUGCCUCCAAAACUAUUGGUCUAGAGUUCGAGAGAGGUGAGUGGAAUUCCAAGUGUAGAGGUGAAAUUCGUAGAUAUUUGGAGGAACACCAGUGGCGAAGGCGGCUCACUGGCUCGAUACUGACGCUGAGGUGCGAAAGUGUGGGGAGCAAACAGGAUUAGAUACCCUGGUAGUCCACACCGUAAAACGAUGAAUGCCAGUCGUCGGGUAGCAUGCUAUUCGGUGACACACCUAACGGAUUAAGCAUUCCGCCUGGGGAGUACGGUCGCAAGAUUAAAA
Molecule: ribosomal RNA, 527 nt
Filed under: uncultured bacterium
Lineage: Bacteria
Description: bacterial SSU rRNA
Rfam family: Bacterial small subunit ribosomal RNA
Source: RNAcentral